Molecule: ribosomal RNA, 253 nt
Filed under: uncultured bacterium
Lineage: Bacteria
Description: partial 16S ribosomal RNA
Rfam family: Bacterial small subunit ribosomal RNA
Source: RNAcentral
UACGUAGGGACCAAGCGUUGUUCGGAUUUACUGGGCGUAAAGGGUGCGUAGGCGGCGCGGUAAGUCGGGUGUGAAAUCUCGGAGCUUAACUCCGAAACUGCAUUCGAUACUGCCGUGCUUGAGGACUGGAGAGGAGACUGGAAUUUACGGUGUAGCGGUGAAAUGCGUAGAUAUCGUAAGGAAGACCAGUGGCGAAGGCGGGUCUCUGGACAGUUCCUGACGCUGAGGCACGAAGGUCAGGGGAGCAAACGGG